This 1305-nucleotide ribosomal RNA is filed under the name metagenome. RNAcentral describes it as "bacterial SSU rRNA". It matches the Rfam family "Bacterial small subunit ribosomal RNA". The record is from RNAcentral.
GGAGGGUUUGAUCCUGGCUCAGGAUGAACGCUGGCGGCGUGCUUGAUACAUGCAAGUCGAACGAACCGUUAGGGUGAAGAAGGUUUAGCGCACGUGGAAGAUGAGAAAUCGUAAAAAGCGUGCAACGGAUUGGAAGCAUUUGAUGCGGUGAGUGGCGAACGGGUGAGUAACACGUGGGUAAUUUGCCCUCAAGUGGGGAACAACUGUCCGAAAGGGCAGCUAAUUCCGCAUGUGAUCGAAAGAUGAAAGGCCUUCGGGUCGUAAAGUCCUUUUCUGAGGGAAGAGGAAGGACGGUACCUCAGGAAUAAGUCUCGGCUAACUACGUGCCAGCAGCCGCGGUAAAACGUAGGAGGCGAGCGUUAUCCGGAUUCACUGGGCGUAAAGGGCAAGUAGGCGGUCGUACAAGUUAGGUGUGACAUCUCCCGGCUUAACUGGGAGGGAGCGCUUAAAACUAUACGACUAGAGGGCGGAAGAGGGGGGUAGAACUCCUAAUGUAGCGGUGGAAUGCUCAGAUAUUAGGAAGAAUACCAGUGGCGAAGGCGGCCCCCUGGUCCGUGCCUGACGCUGAGAGGCGAAAGCUAGGGUAGCAAACGGGCUUAGAUACCCCGGUAGUCCUAGCUGUAAACGUUGGAUACUAGGUAAUGGGAGCUAACAUGCUUUCAGUGCCGAAGCAAACGCGUUAAGUAUCCCGCCUGGGGACUACGAUCGCAAGAUUAAAACUCAAAGGAAUUGACGGGAGCCCGCACAAGCAGCGGAGCGUGUGGUUUAAUUCGACGAUACACGAAGAACCUUACCUGGGUUUGACAUAUACGUAGUAGUGAACCGAAAGGGGAACGAGACUUCGGUCAGCGUAUACAGGUGCUGCAUGGCUGUCGUCAGCUCGUGCCGUGAGGUGUCAGGUUAAGUCCUGCAACGAGCGCAACCCUCGUUACCAGUUAUACUUUACUGGUGAGACUGCCGGCAUAUAACCGGAGGAAGGUGGGGAUGACGUCAAGUCAGCAUGGCCUUUAUAUCCAGGGCUACACACACGCUACAAUGGCCGGUACAGAGGGUCGCGAAGCCGCGAGGUGGAGCAAAUCUCACAAAGCCGGUCCCAGUUCAGAUUGCAGGCUGCAACCCGCCUGCAUGAAGUUGGAGUUGCUAGUAACCGCAGGUCAGCAAUACUGCGGUGAAUACGUUCCCGGGCUUUGUACACACCGCCCGUCACGUCAUGGAAGCUGGUAAUACCUGAAGUCGGUGAGCUAACCGCAAGGAGGCAACUGCCGAGGGUAGGACUAGUGACUGGGACGAAGUCGUAACAAGGUA